UACGGGGGGAGCAAGCGUUGUCCGGACUCACUGGGCGUAAAGGGUGCGUAGGCGGGUUUUUAAGUCAGAGGUGAAAUCCUGGAGCUCAACUCCAGAACUGCCUUUGAUACUGGGAAUCUUGAGUAUGGGAGAGGUGAGUGGAACUGCGAGUGUAGAGGUGAAAUUCGUAGAUAUUCGCAAGAACACCAGUGGCGAAGGCGGCUCACUGGCCCAUAACUGACGCUGAGGCACGAAAGCGUGGGGAGCAAACAGG
Molecule: ribosomal RNA, 253 nt
Filed under: uncultured bacterium
Lineage: Bacteria
Description: partial 16S ribosomal RNA
Rfam family: Bacterial small subunit ribosomal RNA
Source: RNAcentral